UACGUACUGCGCGAGCGUUAUUCGGAAUCACUGGGCGUAAAGGGUGCGUAGGCGGUUCAAUUAGUCAGGUGUGAAAUCCCACGGCCCAACCGUGGAACUGCACUUGAAACUGUUGAACUUGAGCAAUCUAGGGGUAAGCGGAACUUCCGGUGGAGCGGUGAAAUGUGUUGAGAUCGGAAGGAACACCAAGAGCGAAAGCAGCUUACUGGGGAUUGUCUGACGCUGAGGCACGAAAGCUAGGGGAGCGAACGGG
This 253-nucleotide ribosomal RNA is filed under the name uncultured bacterium. Its description in RNAcentral is "partial 16S ribosomal RNA". It matches the Rfam family "Bacterial small subunit ribosomal RNA", at positions 524 to 776 of the family's 1533-position model. The record is from RNAcentral.